GAUGAACGCUGGCGGCGUGCCUAAUACAUGCAAGUCGAGCGAACAGACGAGGAGCUUGCUCCUUUGACGUUAGCGGCGGACGGGUGAGUAACACGUGGGUAACCUACCUAUAAGACUGGGAUAACUUCGGGAAACCGGAGCUAAUACCGGAUAAUAUUUCGAACCGCAUGGUUCGAUAGUGAAAGAUGGCUUUGCUAUCACUUAUAGAUGGACCUGCGCCGUAUUAGCUAAUUGGUAAGGUAACGGCUUACCAAGGCAACGAUAGGUAGCCGACCUGAGAGGGUGAUCGGCCACACUGGAACUGAGACACGGUCCAGACUCCUACGGGAGGCAGCAGUAGGGAAUCUUCCGCAAUGGGCGAAAGCCUGACGGAGCAACGCCGCGUGAGUGAUGAAGGUCUUCGGAUCGUAAAACUCUGUUAUUAGGGAAGAACAAACGUGUAAGUAACUGUGCACGUCUUGACGGUACCUAAUCAGAAAGCCACGGCUAACUACGUG
This 497-nucleotide ribosomal RNA is filed under the name uncultured bacterium. Its description in RNAcentral is "partial 16S ribosomal RNA". It matches the Rfam family "Bacterial small subunit ribosomal RNA", at positions 28 to 507 of the family's 1533-position model. The record is from RNAcentral.